Molecule: ribosomal RNA, 742 nt
Filed under: Salmonella enterica subsp. enterica serovar Kentucky
Lineage: Bacteria; Pseudomonadati; Pseudomonadota; Gammaproteobacteria; Enterobacterales; Enterobacteriaceae
Description: bacterial SSU rRNA
Rfam family: Bacterial small subunit ribosomal RNA
Source: RNAcentral
CAGGAUUAGAUACCCUGGUAGUCCACGCCGUAAACGAUGUCUACUUGGAGGUUGUGCCCUUGAGGCGUGGCUUCCGGAGCUAACGCGUUAAGUAGACCGCCUGGGGAGUACGGCCGCAAGGUUAAAACUCAAAUGAAUUGACGGGGGCCCGCACAAGCGGUGGAGCAUGUGGUUUAAUUCGAUGCAACGCGAAGAACCUUACCUGGUCUUGACAUCCACAGAACUUUCCAGAGAUGGAUUGGUGCCUUCGGGAACUGUGAGACAGGUGCUGCAUGGCUGUCGUCAGCUCGUGUUGUGAAAUGUUGGGUUAAGUCCCGCAACGAGCGCAACCCUUAUCCUUUGUUGCCAGCGGUUAGGCCGGGAACUCAAAGGAGACUGCCAGUGAUAAACUGGAGGAAGGUGGGGAUGACGUCAAGUCAUCAUGGCCCUUACGACCAGGGCUACACACGUGCUACAAUGGCGCAUACAAAGAGAAGCGACCUCGCGAGAGCAAGCGGACCUCAUAAAGUGCGUCGUAGUCCGGAUUGGAGUCUGCAACUCGACUCCAUGAAGUCGGAAUCGCUAGUAAUCGUGGAUCAGAAUGCCACGGUGAAUACGUUCCCGGGCCUUGUACACACCGCCCGUCACACCAUGGGAGUGGGUUGCAAAAGAAGUAGGUAGCUUAACCUUCGGGAGGGCGCUUACCACUUUGUGAUUCAUGACUGGGGUGAAGUCGUAACAAGGUAACCGUAGGGGAACCUGC